Molecule: non-coding RNA, 3193 nt
Organism: Anas platyrhynchos (mallard)
Lineage: Eukaryota; Metazoa; Chordata; Aves; Anseriformes; Anatidae
Source: RefSeq, a predicted model, not a curated record
UUUAACAGCAACAGCAGACCUGAAGCAGCCAUACCUUGUCUGUUCCUGUAUGGCUCUGCUGUUUGCCUGCUAGAAACGAGCAUCUGAGAACAUCCCGCUGGAUGCUGCCAGAGAUGGUAAUUCACUUAGGAGGAAGGAAGACCAUCCAUUCUGGAUUAUGCAAGAAGUGGUAGUUGUCCUUGAGGUGGAGCAGACUAUUCAGUCAAAAUCAGCAAAAAGAGAGAGGAGAACAUGCUGCUUUUGAGGAUGAAGCUAUGCUUCUUCCUGUCCCUUAUGCGACUUAAGUGGCUGGAGAAGCAGAGACUUGAGGGAGCCACAUUGUCUACUCUCACAUGAGAGGAUGAGCUCUGCCCUUCAGUUGCCUUUCCAGAAUGUGGUUACUGUUCUGCAACAGUAACUAUUAGACAAGGGGAUAGGAAGCCCUCUCCUGAAAGCGUCCAACUGAACACAUCAAAGCCAAUAUUGCAUUACAGAAUUCUAAUGAGAUGAAGCAUAAAACCAAUCUAAUGUUAAAAAGUUCAACAUGCCUGUCUCUCAUAGGAAAACUUAAGAAUAAGUGAACUGAGUGGGGAGAAGAACUGGCCACAUAAAAUCCUGAACAAGCAAUUUUAUUGAAGAAACUAGACAAGACAGAAACUACUUUCUUGUGAUCCAGUUGAGAUCCAGUUGGACACAUCAACAGAUCUCUCAGUUGACUUGGAGACCAUGAAUUGCACGCUUGGCUUGUUACAAAUGACCUUUUUGCAACUACAAGGAGAACAAAGCCUUUAACUGAAGAGAGGACGGAGGCUAUCACAUCUGCAUUGUCUAUGAAGCAAUACUUCAACUUCUGUCAUCAGUCUGGUGAAGCAGAGGAUUUCCUAAAUGCUGCCCAGCAAUGAGUUGAAGCAAUGCUUCUCCUAUAAUUCAGAGAUAAUACGUGGCUGGAUUCCAGUGACGUGGCUGGUGUUCGUUCUUGGCUUGGCACCCAGCUUCCUCUGAUGAAACUGCUCCAACAUCCAGUAGAGACUUAAUGGCAGCAAUGUGCAGGGUGUGCACAGAACCGCACAGUGCUUUCAGGUGUCUGCUCAGCCCCCUGCCUGCCUUGCUUAUCUGAUGCUGUGGAGCAGGAAGGGGAGUGGAAAGUACACGAUCAGGGAAGGACUUCUGUGCUGUGGAGAUGGGAAGGACUUCUCUGCUGUGGAGAUGAGAAGCACAUAUUACCCCAGGAUCUUCUGAGUGUUACCAUGCUGUUAUGAUUACUGCAUCACUGACUUUGCUGAUGGAAUUGAGAAUAUACUUAAAAUGCAGAGAGCCAUAAUGAAUUGUGAAUGGGAAGCUCUUUCACAAGUAAGUUGGAGGAUAAAAUCAGAAUUCAAAGUGAUCUUCAAGUGGAGGAUUGAGCUCAAGCAUCUAACAUAGGACCAAUACACGUAUAAAAGCAUGAUAGCCUACCAAAUUUGAAUCCAUGGUUUCUAUCAAGGAUCAGGUAUCAUCUAUUAUCAGCAGCUGAUGUCAGUAUCAGAAAGCUCCUGUUGGAAGGUUGCCUCUGCAUGUGGUUUGAGGUCCGUAUCCCAUGGUGCUGGGGUAGAACCAUAACAGCUCCCCGCAGAACCUGUGCAGUCUGCAGUGAAUUGAUUGAUCUGUGCUCACCUUUUCCCAGCUGGUUGAAGAGGUCAUUCAGCUUUAAGAGUCCACAGAAUCUGCAUGGAUAUGACUUUGUUGCUCCUAAGUAACAGUGAAGAAGAUCUGCUGCCAGCAUUUCAUUUCCUCUCUGCCUUUCACCACUGCGGCUAAAUAUCAGUCAGAUUUCCAAGGAGAAAGGUGUUUCGAAGUCCCCCUGGCUGGAGUCCUCUGGAAGAGCCCAGAGUCAUGGAACUGCCUCGCCCGCAGAGGACAAGCUAACCCAUCCCUGGGAUUUGCCUUGAAAACUUGUGCUGCCCAGUGCAGUCGCUGCUGGAUUUCCUUUCUCAGGUAUGUCUGUCGUGCGGCCUGCCAGGUGAAGCACUCACGGGGAUGCUGGCAAAGUGGUGAUAAAACUCACUGCACUGCUGCAUGGCUUCAGGCCAUGUAUGUGGAAAGAAAUGAUGCUUGCUUACUGCAUUAAGCUCACUGAGCUUUUGGGUGGAAAAGCAAAGCGUAAGUGAUUAUUAGACUGUUUGAUUAAAUGGUGUUUAAUAGACAUUGCAAUAAAAGCUUUUAUGAUUAGCUGGGCCUGGCCGCACCUGCCUGGGGAGCUGGGCUCUGCCUGCUGGCAGGGUUCAGGCUCCCGAUAAAACCUGUGGGGAGAGGCACAGAGAUGCUCCUCAGGCAACUUGUUGUGGUCCUACCAUAGGGCCCCUGCAGGGUUCAAAUCAUGAUAUGAUCAGUAAAAGUGACUUGAAAAUGCUCUGAAAAAAAUGUCAGAUAGGAAGUACCAAUUUGAUGCAGUUUCGGUAUCCCUCAGGAUUGCAUGGGACGUCCUGAAGUGCCCAGCUGGAAGGGCUUUAAGGGGCAGAACCACAGCAGCCUCCAGCAGCCUGGCCAGGCUGGGAGCUAGCUGGGAAGCUGGGGACUGACAUUCUUCUAAAAAGUGGCCCGAGGCAUUCAAAAAAGGAGUGUUCCUAAAUAUUUUUUCCAUAGAGAUGUUCGUGUAUCUUUACAUUCAGGUACGGAUACCUUAAAAAACCUGAAGGAAAUUUCCUGUGGGUCAUAAAAGCCACUUCUUAUGCCAUCCCAGUGAUUAAAUGAAGUUAUGGCUGGAUAAAAUGGGGGCCUCAUGGAAUUGCAGAGGGGAGAAGAAGGCCAAAGACACCUCAGAUUUAUUAAAAUACAGUCUCCCCUCAUUGCUUACAGCAGAAAUCAAACUGUGCCUGUGGUUAUAACUCACUGUAACGACCUUACUGACUUGACUCCCGAGCACUUCUGGUUUUUAAUUGGGGCAUUUGCCUGAGGAACAGCUGAGCCGCACAAACGGGUUCUUUUAUGGCCCGGUACUCCGAAUGGACAGAGCCGUGCGCCUGUUUUUUCCGCCAGGCAUUUUAACGAGGAACAAGCGCGGGGAGCUGCGAAGCCCGUCCGGCUGCAAAGCCCCGUCCUGCACCAUGAGGCCGGCAGGCACGAAACCUCCGCGGCGGCAGCAGGGAGGGAACGAGGCCGCGGAGAGGCCGCGCGGAGGCCGUGGCGACGGAGGCGGGGCCGGGCCGGGGCCCUCCCGCCGGGGGCGGGCCGCGGG